RNAcentral lists this ribosomal RNA (482 nucleotides) under uncultured bacterium. RNAcentral describes it as "partial 16S ribosomal RNA". It matches the Rfam family "Bacterial small subunit ribosomal RNA", at positions 28 to 507 of the family's 1533-position model. The record is from RNAcentral.
GACGAACGCUGGCGGCGUGCUUAACACAUGCAAGUCGAACGAUGAAGAAGAGAAACGCGAACUUCGGUUCAAAUUUCACUUCGGAUUAGUGGCAGACGGGUGAGUAACGCGUGAGCAACCUACCUCUUACAAAGGGAUAGCCUCGGGAAACCGUGAUUAAUACCAUAUGACACAUUCAUAAGGCAUCUUAAGAAUGUUAAAGCUACGGCGGUAAGAGAUGGGCUCGCGUCCCAUUAGCUAGUUGGUGAGGUAACGGCCCACCAAGGCGACGAUGGGUAACCGGCCUGAGAGGGUGAACGGUCACAUUGGAACUGAGACACGGUCCAAACUCCUACGGGAGGCAGCAGUGGGGAGUAUUGCACAAUGGAGGGAACUCUGAUGCAGCGACGCCGCGUGAGCGAUGAAGGAAUUCGUUUCGUAAAGCUCUGUUCUAUGGGAAGAAAAGGACUGUACCAUAGGAGAAAGCCCCGGCUAAAUACGUG